CUUCUGGAGAAGUGGCCCAUCCAAUUAUAGGGGAAUCUCAAUAAAGACAGUGUACAUUGCCAAUGAAUAGUGAUUUGCUUUUUCUUUUUCUUUUUCUUUUCCAUGUACUUAUUAAAGUGGGUAUUCCAUUACAGCCUUUAAAUUGUCACAUGAUGCAUGCAAUUCAACUUUAUUUCAGUGAAUAUGAACUUCCAGCCAUAAAAUCNNNNUUACCAAGUCAAAUUCAUUAAUCAAAUACCACCAUGGAAAAGCAAUUGAAACCGAGUGUCAAUAAGAACAGGCUUUGAAUUGUUCCAACUUUUCUGGUUUUUUUUUUUUUGGUCAUUUGCAAAAAUUCAAAACCUAAUGGUAGCAAGUUUGACCUUAUAAAAAUGUUCUGUUCAAAAAUAACAUAGAAAAAUAAUCUGACUGGCAUUUUUUGAAAAGUCUUAAAGUUGACAAAAAAAAAAUGUAGAAAAAUCAA
This 463-nucleotide unclassified non-coding RNA is filed under the name Hevea brasiliensis (rubber tree). Lineage: Eukaryota; Viridiplantae; Streptophyta; Magnoliopsida; Malpighiales; Euphorbiaceae. The record is from RNAcentral.